The sequence is a ribosomal RNA, 1410 nucleotides long. It matches the Rfam family "Bacterial small subunit ribosomal RNA".
UGCAGUCGAGCGGAGACGAUCGCUAGCUUGCUAGGAGGCGUCGAGCGGCGGACGGGUGAGUAACGCAUAGGAAUCUACCCAGUCGUGGGGGAUAACCUGAGGAAACUCAGGCUAAUACCGCAUACGUCCUACGGGAGAAAGCGGGGGCUCUUCGGACCUCGCGCGAUUGGAUGAGCCUAUGUCGGAUUAGCUAGUUGGUAAGGUAACGGCUUACCAAGGCGACGAUCCGUAGCUGGUCUGAGAGGAUGAUCAGCCACACCGGGACUGAGACACGGCCCGGACUCCUACGGGAGGCAGCAGUGGGGAAUAUUGGACAAUGGGCGAAAGCCUGAUCCAGCCAUGCCGCGUGUGUGAAGAAGGCUUUCGGGUUGUAAAGCACUUUCAGCGAGGAAGAAAGCGUGCCGUUUAAUACACGGUACGGACGACAUCACUCGCAGAAGAAGCACCGNGCWAAYUCCGUGCNCAGCAGCCGCGGUANAUACGGAGGGKGCNAAGCGUUAANUSGGAAUUACUGGNGCGUAAAGCGCGCGNURGGCNGGCGUGUCACGCCNGGGUGUGAAAGCCCCGGGCUCAACCUGGGANACGGCAUCCGGAACGGGCAGGCUAGAGUGCAGGAGAGGAAGGUAGAAUUNCCCGGUGUAGCGGUGAAAUGCGUAGAGAUCGGGAGGAAUACCAGUGGCGAAGGCGGCCUUCUGGACUGACACUGACGCUGAGGUGCGAAAGCGUGGGUAGCAAACAGGAUUAGAUACCCUGGUAGUCCACGCCGUAAACGAUGUCGACUAGCCGUUGGGUCCCUUGAGGACUUAGUGGCGCAGUUAACGCGAUAAGUCGACCGCCUGGGGAGUACGGCCGCAAGGUUAAAACUCAAAUGAAUUGACGGGGGCCCGCACAAGCGGUGGAGCAUGUGGUUUAAUUCGAUGCAACGCGAAGAACCUUACCUACCCUUGACAUCCUGCGAACCCGGAAGAGAUUCCGGGGUGCCUUCGGGAGCGCAGAGACAGGUGCUGCAUGGCUGUCGUCAGCUCGUGUUGUGAAAUGUUGNGGUUAAGUNCCCGUAACGNAGCGCAACCCUUGUNCCCUAUUUGCCAGCGAUUCNGGUCGGGAACUCNUAGGGAGACUGCNCGGUGACAAACCGGARGAAGGUGGGGACGACGUCAAGUCAUCAUGGCCCUUACGGGUAGGGCUACACACGUGCUACAAUGGCCGGUACAAAGGGUUGCGAAAGCGCGAGCUGAAGCUAAUCCCGAAAAGCCGGUCUCAGUCCGGAUCGGAGUCUGCAACUCGACUCCGCGAAGUCGGAAUCGCUAGUAAUCGUGCAUCAGAAUGGCACGGUGAAUACGUUCCCGGGCCUUGUACACACCGCCCGUCACACCAUGGAAGUGGACUGCACCAGAAGUGGUAGCUUAACCU